GGUGCCGGUGCCCCCUCCCCCCGCUUUUAAGGCGCAUCCAUCCCCCAGCCCUGGGAGCAGGGGGAGGAGGUGAAGGGGCAGCGCCCCCCCAGCGCAGAGAGCGACGAGAGCUUUUCACCCUCACCCGCGCGCGCGGAGGCCGUUGGCCUGCGGCCGUUAGGAGGGGCUCCCGUGCAGCGCGCGGGGUCUCCUGCCGCACGUGGAGCAGGCGGGGUGGGGGGGCGGUUGAGAGCGGGCGGGGGGAGGGAGCGCUCUCUCAGGAACAGCCCCUCCCCCAGCGGGAGGCGGCAGCCGCCAAGCUGCUCGCCGCCUCCCUUCGCGAGGGGUCGCUUCGCCCGCCUCUCCCGCGAGCUCGCCCCCUCCCCGCGCGCUGGGCCGGUCCUAGGGGGACGCAGGCACCGAACCUACCCCGUCCUGCGUGAGACACUUCCUGCUGCCACAGCCCGGCCGGCCGGCGAGGAGGGCGCAGAGACUUGCCGCAGGCCGUAUGAAAUGAAGCAGUGGGCCAGAUCUGACCUGCAGGCCAUAGGUUCCACACUCCUGGUAUAACAUGAUCCAAUGGCUGGAAGUUGAAGGAGGUCAAACUAGAUGAUCACAAUGGUCCUUUCUGGCCUUGGAAUUUAUGAAUCUAUGGACCCACCUACCCCAGUUCCCAAAGUUAAUGCUGAUUAAGAAUAUCAGGAAUAUCAAGUCUGCUUUGGAGGACUCAGAGUACUAGGAAUUUCCUCUUUACCAACAAGAACUUUUAUUCCAUUUGUAAGAUAUUGGAGUUAAAUAAAAUUAACUUUUAAAAACAGUGAA
This is a long non-coding RNA of Mauremys reevesii (Reeves's turtle), 801 nucleotides long. RefSeq lists it as uncharacterized. Lineage: Eukaryota; Metazoa; Chordata; Testudines; Geoemydidae. The record is from RefSeq and is a predicted model, not a curated record. The transcript has 4 exons.